This 3842-nucleotide long non-coding RNA is filed under the name Zostera marina. RNAcentral's name for it is "long non-coding RNA (ZMAR_LNC001115)". Lineage: Eukaryota; Viridiplantae; Streptophyta; Magnoliopsida; Alismatales; Zosteraceae. The record is from RNAcentral.
ACUCAAUAAAGUUUUGUUUCUCCCUCAGGCUCCUUCGGGAGAUUCUUCUUCUCAACCUCAGACCCCUCUGUGGGAUUUCUUCAAUUUAUGUUCUCUAACGACCGGUAAUCAAGAACGAUUGUUACAUAUACUUCGAGGCCCCCAAAAUCUAUACUAGGGGAUAUCAACCAAAACUCCAGCUUUUCAUUUAGACCAGAGCUCUUCAAGAAAAGACCACUAUGCUUGUAUUGGAGACCAACCUCCUAAGGUAAAACACAUAGUUACUUAACCACUACGUGCAAUUGCUAUAUAGGAGAAAGUCUAUAUACCCUUUAUCUUUAUUAUUUAUCUCUUUCAUAUUGUAAUCGUGGGCAAUGGCCUUCAUUUUAUUAAUGAAAACGUUUAAUUAUUGCAAAAAAUAGGAAUGAGAGAAUGAUAUAUAUUAUUUACUAGAAUAUCUCAAUGAUUAAAACCAAAUUUGUCACUUUAAAAUGAUUCACUACUUCCUAUAGUGAGAAAAGAAGAUGAUGAUUACAAGAAUUGCUAUGAGAGAGAGAGAGAUUAUGUAAUUCCUACUCGGUUCAUAUUUGAAUGAAUUUCAUAUAAUCCAUAGAUAACCAUCUGAAAUAGUACCUCAAUGGAAGACCGUGCAGUUUCCAGAACUUGAAUGUAAACAUACUCCACUUUACCUACAAAAAAUUAUUUCAGUGAAGUUCGUGGUAGAGUGGUAGUAAUUAAUAAGCAACAAAAAAUUACUAUUUACUGCAAUAUUUCAAAUCCCCUAAUCUCGUAUCUCCAAAUCCCCUCAUCAAGUAUGGAAUUAGAGUUAUCAUCGAGCAUACAAUUCCCCUCAUCUCAUAUUUAGACUCGCCACAUGAGCUAGUUCCCCAAACUGUCAAGUUCAGAAUUAGAACGAUCGCCAAGUGGAUGAUUCACCUUCAAAUUACAUGAUUGAACAAAGUCUAGGGGUCUUCCUAAUGGAGAGUAGGCUGACAACUGAAUCUUGAGUGCUAAGAUGCUUUGCAUCACUUCCCAAUCCUUCUCAACCAUUUACUCGAUUGAUUGUAGGUAGUACCUCAAUCCCUCAUGGGUCAGAGAUAAUCAGACAUCAUUAUUCCAAUUAUUUAAUAUUUAGAGACGUCAAAAUAAAGAAGAUGUGUAGAAUUUAAAUAAGCAAGAAGUGUGGGUUAUGGGAAAAUUCUAACCAUCAAACUUCUUAUACAAGCAAUUUGGAGAUACUGAAUGUUUACGACAGAAUCCUUCAGCAGCCUGGUAAAGAAAAGUAAACAAUUAUAAUUUGAAUCAAUAAAUAUAUUCAUACAUAAUACGUUGAUGCUAACUAAGAAUCUAAGAUCAAAUCUUGAUGGUAAAUUUGACCUUUUUGAGAUAUUAUGUUAAAUAAAUUAAUCAUCAAAAUUGUGUGCUUAGAAGAUGAUAGGGUCAUAGCGAAUGCAUAUCUAUAAUGAGUGAGUAUUCUUCCAUAAGUGAUAAUUGAUGUAAGGACUAUAAAUCUAUAACAUGCAUAAAUGAUAGAGUAGAGUAGUGUCUAUCGGCCUAAAUAAAUGAUAAGAUUGUAAGAAUUCUAAUUCUCAUUUCCAAACAAACAAAGAAUACUUAUCCAUCUAGUGGAAAUGCUCAAUCGAUCUUUUUGAAAAAAAAUGAAUAUUGCUAUCCCCUCCCCUAAUAGCUCUGGUAUCAAACUGGGGGAUCUAACAAAGGCCUUUCAGAAAACUACUCAUCACUCACCUACUUGGGACCUUCUAUGGAAUGUUGUUGGAGUUCUGUCAUAGCACAUAUGGACUGAAAGAAAUAAGAUAUUGAAAUAACACAUAUUGUGACCCCCAGAAGUUAUGCUUAAAGAAGUUAUCAAAGACAUCAACCUCUCAUUCAUGCCAUAAUUCCAUAGGAAAAGUUGUUGUCACCCUUUGGAGACCAUUACACUUCAGAUGUGGAAAAUCAACCUCCUGAUGCAUUCUGUCUAGUCGAUUAUUACUAAUUAGCUUAGCCAAUUGGAAAAUGUCAAUGGUUCAACAAACCCAUCUCCAUUUUUAUCUUAUUUUGUCUCUCCAAUGUAAUUCGAACAUUUCCCCUCAUUAUUCUAAUGAAAGAAUUUAUCUGCCUAAAAAAAUGAAGGCAUGUAAGAACACUUGUGUUGAAUGAUAACCAUACGUUGCUAAUUAAAACCGGUUCGAACUAUAGAAGAAUGAAGAUAAUUAAUAAAGACUUUAACGAAGCUCAAUUCUUAAUAUGUAUGAUUUAACUAUAAAAAUAUACUUAAAAAGAUUAUCAAAGAAAAGAACAAUGCAUUUCAAGCCUAACUUGUCAAAAUAAUUAUGGAAAAAAAUAAAGAAUAAAAAAACAUCACAAUGUAAUUGCUUCAAGCCUAUCAAGAUUCAUGGGAUUAUAAUACACUUAUAGAAAACAAGAAUAUUGAUAAAAAAAGGAAAUAAAGACAUUAGCUUUAUUUUUUAAUGAAAUUUAAUUGCUUUCAAAAAAAAAAAUACUUGAAAAGAUUUCACCUUCCUGAAGGCAAUUCCGGUCGUGAUUUAAGAAGAAGACGGAAAAGAAACAGAGGUUCUCAUUCCAAUACCCUAGCAGUCCAAAUCACAACGCUGCAUUAGUUGGAAUGUGUUUGGACUUUGGACAUUGGUUGGCGAAAUACUUGCAAAGAUUUCACCUUCCCGAAGGCAAUUCCGGUCGUGAUUUAAGAAGAAGACGGAAAAGAAACAAAGGUUCUCAUUCCAGUACCCUACCAGUCCAAAUCACAACGCUGCAUUAGUUGGAAUGUGUUUGAACUUUGGACAUUGGCUGGCGAAAUACUGAUACCGAGACAAACCGGAAUCCCACAACUUCCCCCUCUUUUGACAAGAUAGUCACAAACCAACUGUCAAAUCAUUGUAGGAACCUAACAACCUACUGUUCAAUCCCCCACCAUCGUCUGUGCACCCACAGCAUGUGUACUACAACCUAGGGAAAGCAAGAUAAUGGUGUUUGUGAUUCACAUUUCACAGUACGAUCUGUGUCACCCCUAUCAUACUUCCCAAACCCCUUCAUAUAACCAUGACAUGCCUAGACCACUACACUAUUCGAACAUGUGGCCACUCCUUAGUAAUAUAGAAGAUUCGAACAUGUGGCCACUCCUUAGUAAUAUAGAAGAUUCGAAUAGUGAAUGGUAUAUCCUCUAUUGACUCUUCACCAAGACCUAUCACUCCACCAAGCAGGAUAGUGACAAAUCUUCGAAUCAAAGCUGGUAGGAGAAUCCGAUAGAAGACUCUGACUUAGAACCGACCAAUGACAUUCUGAGGCAACACCCUAGGAACAAUUAGUGAAUAGGGAAAACUGUUUAGAAUCCCUAUGAGUUCAACUCAUACCCAAAAUCUUUAUAAUCGAGCAAUGCUCAAAUUUCGUUAUUAUUAAUGGAAAUUUAAUUUUACAUAAAAAAAGAAUCAAAGCAGUAGAUCAGGUAUAAAACAUCCUAGAAAUACAGGGACCUUUGUUGGAUUUCCUAGGUUGUCAAAUGCUUUUGCCACUGGAGGUCCACGAAGCAUAACUUCAUUUUCCGUUUGCUUGGAACUAAGAUCGUCAAUAUGAAUCUGAAAGAAUAUCAAUAUAUAGCUUUAACAUUUCUCAUCACCAUGAAAAAAUUAAUAUGAUAUAAUACUAAAUAAAAGUUUUAAUUUUUAAAGCAAAUAAAAGUUUAACUUGUGGAGGAAUAGAAUUGCAUUGCAAAUUAAUGCAAAAUUAAAGUUUUUUCUGGAGAUGAUUUUUUUUACAAAAUUUGAAAUCUCACUAUAUGGCGACUUAUAUUACUCCAGCUACAUAUACACACAAAAAAAUUGGAGCAUUGGUAUCAAUAUUCGAUA